GGGUUGUGAGGUUAAGCGACUAAGCGUACACGGUGGAUGCCCUGGCAGUCAGAGGCGAUGAAGGACGUGCUAAUCUGCGAAAAGCGCCGGCGAGGUGAUAUGAACCUUUGACCCGGCGAUGUCCGAAUGGGGAAACCCAGUGCAAUUCGUUGCACUAUCGUUAACUGAAUACAUAGGUUAACGAGGCGAACCGGGGGAACUGAAACAUCUAAGUACCCCGAGGAAAAGAAAUCAACCGAGAUUCCCCCAGUAGCGGCGAGCGAACGGGGAGCAGCCCGGAGUCUGAAUCAGCUUGUGUGUUAGUGGAACGGUCUGGAAAGUCCGACGGUACAGGGUGAUAGUCCCGUACACGAAAGCACACAUGCUGUGAACUCGAAGAGUAGGGCGGGACACGUGGUAUCCUGUCUGAAUAUGGGGGGACCAUCCUCCAAGGCUAAAUACUCCUGACUGACCGAUAGUGAACCAGUACCGUGAGGGAAAGGCGAAAAGAACCCCGGCGAGGGGAGUGAAAAAGAACCUGAAACCGUGUACGUACAAGCAGUGGGAGCACCUUCGUGGUGUGACUGCGUACCUUUUGUAUAAUGGGUCAGCGACUUAUAUUCUGUAGCAAGGUUAACCGUAUAGGGGAGCCGAAGGGAAACCGAGUCUUAACUGGGCGUUAAGUUGCAGGGUAUAGACCCGAAACCCGGUGAUCUAGCCAUGGGCAGGUUGAAGGUUGGGUAACACUAACUGGAGGACCGAACCGACUAAUGUUGAAAAAUUAGCGGAUGACCUGUGGCUGGGGGUGAAAGGCCAAUCAAACCGGGAGAUAGCUGGUUCUCCCCGAAAGCUAUUUAGGUAGCGCCUCGUGAACUCAUCUUCGGGGGUAGAGCACUGUUUCGGCUAGGGGGCCAUCCCGGCUUACCAACCCGAUGCAAACUACGAAUACCGAAGAAUGUUAUCACGGGAGACACACGGCGGGUGCUAACGUCCGUCGUGAAGAGGGAAACAACCCAGACCGCCAGCUAAGGUCCCAAAGUCAUGGUUAAGUGGGAAACGAUGUGGGAAGGCACAGACAGCCAGGAUGUUGGCUUAGAAGCAGCCAUCAUUUAAAGAAAGCGUAAUAGCUCACUGGUCGAGUCGGCCUGCGCGGAAGAUGUAACGGGGCUAAACCAUGCACCGAAGCUGCGGCAGCGACACUAUGUGUUGUUGGGUAGGGGAGCGUUCUGUAAGCCGUUGAAGGUGUGCUGUGAGGCAUGCUGGAGGUAUCAGAAGUGCGAAUGCUGACAUAAGUAACGAUAAAGCGGGUGAAAAGCCCGCUCGCCGGAAGACCAAGGGUUCCUGUCCAACGUUAAUCGGGGCAGGGUGAGUCGACCCCUAAGGCGAGGCCGAAAGGCGUAGUCGAUGGGAAACAGGUUAAUAUUCCUGUACUUGGUGUUACUGCGAAGGGGGGACGGAGAAGGCUAUGUCAGCCGGGCGACGGUUGUCCCGGUUUAAGCAUGUAGGCGGAGGUUCCAGGUAAAUCCGGUACCUUUUAACGCUGAGGUGUGAUGACGAGGCACUACGGUGCUGAAGUGAUAAAUGCCCUGCUUCCAGGAAAAGCCUCUAAGCAUCAGGUAACACGAAAUCGUACCCCAAACCGACACAGGUGGUCAGGUAGAGAAUACCAAGGCGCUUGAGAGAACUCGGGUGAAGGAACUAGGCAAAAUGGUGCCGUAACUUCGGGAGAAGGCACGCUGAUGUGUAGGUGAAGCCCCUGCGGGCGGAGCUGAAAUCAGUCGAAGAUACCAGCUGGCUGCAACUGUUUAUUAAAAACACAGCACUGUGCAAACACGAAAGUGGACGUAUACGGUGUGACGCCUGCCCGGUGCCGGAAGGUUAAUUGAUGGGGUUAGCGGCAACGCGAAGCUCUUGAUCGAAGCCCCGGUAAACGGCGGCCGUAACUAUAACGGUCCUAAGGUAGCGAAAUUCCUUGUCGGGUAAGUUCCGACCUGCACGAAUGGCGUAAUGAUGGCCAGGCUGUCUCCACCCGAGACUCAGUGAAAUUGAACUCGCUGUGAAGAUGCAGUGUACCCGCGGCAAGACGGAAAGACCCCGUGAACCUUUACUAUAGCUUGACACUGAACACUGGUCCUUGAUGUGUAGGAUAGGUGGGAGGCUUUGAAGCGUGGACGCCAGUCUGCGUGGAGCCAACCUUGAAAUACCACCCUUUAAUGGCUGGUGUUCUAACGUAGACCCGUAAUCCGGGUUGCGGACAGUGUCUGGUGGGUAGUUUGACUGGGGCGGUCUCCUCCCAAAGAGUAACGGAGGAGCACGAAGGUUGGCUAAUCCUGGUCGGACAUCAGGAGGUUAGUGCAAUGGCAUAAGCCAGCUUGACUGCGAGCGUGACGGCGCGAGCAGGUGCGAAAGCAGGUCAUAGUGAUCCGGUGGUUCUGAAUGGAAGGGCCAUCGCUCAACGGAUAAAAGGUACUCCGGGGAUAACAGGCUGAUACCGCCCAAGAGUUCAUAUCGACGGCGGUGUUUGGCACCUCGAUGUCGGCUCAUCACAUCCUGGGGCUGAAGUAGGUCCCAAGGGUAUGGCUGUUCGCCAUUUAAAGUGGUACGCGAGCUGGGUUUAGAACGUCGUGAGACAGUUCGGUCCCUAUCUGCCGUGGGCGCUGGAGAAUUGAGGGGGGCUGCUCCUAGUACGAGAGGACCGGAGUGGACGCAUCACUGGUGUUCGGGUUGUCAUGCCAAUGGCACUGCCCGGUAGCUAAAUGCGGAAGAGAUAAGUGCUGAAAGCAUCUAAGCACGAAACUUGCCCCGAGAUGAGUUCUCCCUGAGACUUUAAGUCUCCUGAAGGAACGUUGAAGACGACGACGUUGAUAGGUCGGGUGUGUAAGCGCAGCGAUGCGUUGAGCUAACCGAUACUAAUGAACCGUGAGGCUUAACCUUACAACGCCGAAGGUGUUU
Molecule: ribosomal RNA, 2931 nt
Filed under: Enterobacter cloacae
Lineage: Bacteria; Pseudomonadati; Pseudomonadota; Gammaproteobacteria; Enterobacterales; Enterobacteriaceae
Description: bacterial LSU rRNA
Rfam family: Bacterial large subunit ribosomal RNA
Source: RNAcentral